UGGCAUGCACAAAUGGGUGAGGGGUCU
This 27-nucleotide non-coding RNA is filed under the name Rattus norvegicus (Norway rat). The record is from RNAcentral. Lineage: Eukaryota; Metazoa; Chordata; Mammalia; Rodentia; Muridae.